AAAAAAGGAACAAAAUGCAAAGUCACUUUGGGUGGGCUGCAGCCAGUAUAUCUCCCAAGAAAGGAGAGGACAACCUGUCAACGGCUUUACAUCGAUAAAACAAUAAAUGGAACAGGACAUAAAUAGAAACGACCCUCAUAUGUACACUCUGAUCCCUGCUUACAGGCAAUCAUCAAGCUCUUAGAUCUAUUUCAGACAGUAACGUGCAACGUGCAUGCAGGGUUAGAAGACCGGGACCCCAAAAGAGCUAAAUUCCGAAGAUGAUCGAAGAAGCAUACUGUGAAAUAGUCACCACCGCAGAUAAACUUUUCCAGUUCAUAUGCAUAUAUAAGACGAAUGGCAUCUUCUGUGACAGAUUGCCACUCUUUCUCAGACACAACCUGAACCAAGCUUAUAAAUAUCUUGCACUAUAUAGAUAGAUAGAUAGAUAGAUAGAUGCGGCGCAGCGCAGACACCAAGUUAAAAUUAAUAUAUCCUGCGCGCAUUGAUCUUGAAGAUGCGGCCCACACCUAGGGUAGAUGUAGCUAAUACAUAGUUACUGCUAACGGGUUCGUAAUCUCAAUAUGAAACUCAGGGCCCUCCAUGAAAAUCUUGAUUUUCAUCUUCUGGGAGCAACUUGGUUGGGCACAUAGGUGGCUAGUUGUCAGAAAUCUUCAAAGCAGCAACUGUCAUCAAACAAGCAAAACAGAGUGUCAGCAACAGAAGUAAAAGGAAAAAAGUAUAAGCAACACUGAAACUUCUUCAUUUGCUCUCUUUGCAUCACACUCGUUGUCGAGCUAAAGGCUAAAAAUUAAGGUAAAAAUUCUCACUAACAAACAGAAAAGGAAGCCAUGAUUAUGUAACAAACAUAACCAACAUGCCAUGUUAAAUUACCAAGCAAUGAUGUCUGAAUUAAUGGACGAGUAAAAAAUCUAUCUUAGCUUCGUUACUGUUUUAC
Molecule: long non-coding RNA, 937 nt
Filed under: Triticum aestivum (bread wheat)
Lineage: Eukaryota; Viridiplantae; Streptophyta; Magnoliopsida; Poales; Poaceae
Description: long non-coding RNA (TAES_LNC026616)
Source: RNAcentral